Molecule: long non-coding RNA, 1266 nt
Organism: Agrilus planipennis (emerald ash borer)
Lineage: Eukaryota; Metazoa; Arthropoda; Insecta; Coleoptera; Buprestidae
Exons: 3
Source: RefSeq, a predicted model, not a curated record
UAUCAUGAUUCAUCGUGUUCGAGCUUUGGCUAGUUGUCUUUGGGUAUAUUACAUGCCUACUUAUUAUAGUACUUAACGGUUUACAAUGAGGUUUUUCCGUGUAACAUUUUGUUUGUAAAAUUAAAAUAAUAGUGAAUUCAGCAGGAUUAUUUAUGCAGGCAGCUUUAACUACAAAUUAAGUUAUUGUUCUUAAAUUCUACCGCUUCAAUGAAAUGGUGGAGAAGUUUCCGACCUGUUAAUUUUGUGUAUCGUUACUGGAAUGGUAAAUUACAGCCUGGUUGGAUUGGAUUGUACCUCUAAAGUCAACGAUUAUUUAUUAUCAAUAAGAAAAAAUAUAGCGAACCAAGCCUAACCAACAUCUCCUCGGCAUUUACCAAAUGUUUUGCAAAGAAAACGGUUGGAAUUGGAGGACUUCUUUGCGAAUAAGAAAAUUUUCGAUAACCACAACAUGAAAAAGAUAAGUUGAAAAUUUUAUUUUAAUAUCUAACUAGUUUUUACCAGCGGCUUCGCUUACGUUGUUCUUCCAAAUACGAGUCAAAAAAUCAUCGAAAAUACAAUAAUUUGUUUGUUGACCAGGAUCAUUAGGAUAAAACUAAAGUUUCUAGUUUUCUGGGUUAAACGUACCCUUUGCGUAAAAUGAUGAUGAGUAAAUACUGUCCUUUAUCGACACGAAAAGAUUUUUUCUAUCAAUCUAUUAAUACAUAAUUUAUUUAAAGUACUUUAACAAGUUAAAAGCUCUUUUACACAAGUAAUAUAAAUAUAAUAACAAAUGUGCAUAAGAUACAACUUCAAUUUAACAAUUAACAGGAUUGAACAUGAUUUUUUUUCUUAUAACACACUUAAAUAUACCAAUUUUAUCAAUUGACUUCGACGUAAAUAUAAAGAUGACAGAUUGAAUUUACGUUGAUUGAAAAUUAUUUGGAAAUUUUGUAAUAAAAGCUGCAUGCAAUAGGUUCUGUAUUUAGGUCCAACUGGUAAAUAACUUUAAUGAUUAAAAAAAUAUUUGAAUAUCUUUAAUUAGAUAAAUGGCAUGUUUUGUACCUAUUUACAGGAGUAAUAAAUUGCGUACUUAAAACAAACAGUAAGUACAUAAAUUGAAAAUUUGAAUAACAAAAUUGAAAGUAAUAUUUACAUAAUUUUAUCGUUCGAAUACGUAUAAUGUAUAUGUUUAUUACAAUAUUUCCAAAACAUAUCGUACCUAUGAACAGUGGUGUUGUGCUAAUUUUUUUUUACCGGAACGCGUAUAUAUAAUUAUAUAGACAGGGC